CUUUUAAUUGCAUGCCGGACUGAGCAUCUCCGUUAUACGGCUCAACGCGAAUAAACGCAAACAACACAAAUUAUCGCCCAGCUUACGCAGUAGCAUAAGUUUUAACCCCUCCUUAGAGGCGGGCUGCUUCACCUGUUGACUCUAGAUAGGCAGGAUUCGAAGUAUCACCCUUAUGUAGAUAUACCUUAGGUUCGUCUCGCGCCUAAGAAGAACCUUAGAGAAUCGUCUUGUGUAGCCUUGCAAGUUGUGCGAAGCAAGAUUAAACCCUAACAACUUCUCUAAGCAUGUAGACGUUAGGAGUAGCUUGGUUUUGGACUGCGGUUCGAUCCCGCACGCCUCCACCA
This 344-nucleotide transfer-messenger RNA is filed under the name Sulfurimonadaceae bacterium. RNAcentral describes it as "partial transfer-messenger RNA". It matches the Rfam family "transfer-messenger RNA". Rfam says of the family: Bacterial tmRNA, also known as 10Sa RNA or SsrA, is named for its dual tRNA and mRNA-like properties. Its role is to liberate the mRNA from a stalled ribosome. Lineage: Bacteria; Pseudomonadati; Campylobacterota; Epsilonproteobacteria; Campylobacterales; Sulfurimonadaceae. The record is from RNAcentral.